RNAcentral lists this ribosomal RNA (478 nucleotides) under uncultured bacterium. Its description in RNAcentral is "partial 16S ribosomal RNA". It matches the Rfam family "Bacterial small subunit ribosomal RNA", at positions 28 to 507 of the family's 1533-position model. The record is from RNAcentral.
GAUGAACGCUGGCGGCGUGCCUAACACAUGCAAGUCGAACGGAGUCCAGCCUUUAAGACCUUCGGGUCAAAGAGGGGAAGACUGAGUGGCGGACGGGUGAGUAACACGUGGGCAACCUGGCUCAUAGAGGGGGAUAACAGAGAGAAAUUUCUGCUAAUACCGCAUAAGCACACACUGCCGCAUGGCAGAGGGUGAAAAGAGAAUCGCUAUGAGAUGGACCCGCGUCUGAUUAGCCAGUUGGCAGGGUAAGAGCCUACCAAAGCGACGAUCAGUAGCCGAUCUGAGAGGAUGAACGGCCACAUUGGGACUGAGACACGGCCCAAACUCCUACGGGAGGCAGCAGUGGGGGAUAUUGCACAAUGGGGGGAACCCUGAUGCAGCGACGCCGCGUGAGUGAAGAAGUAUUUCGGUGUGUAAAGCUCUAUCAGCAGGGAAGAUAAUGACAGUACCUGAAUAAGAAGCCCCGGCUAACUACGUG